AUAUAUACAUUGAUACUGUACUGCUGUUUUCCCUUUGUUGCUCUUUUCAAGUAAGUUUAUCAAUACAACACUCAAUUGACAGAGGAACAACUGUGCUGACUUGAGCCAUUUCAAUCUGUAUUUUUUUUUUGGUUGCAAUUUAUCUAGUUCCCCCAAAGCCGUGAUAUUCAAAACCCAGGCCAUGAAGGUUGCUGCUCCAUCUGUGACUAUAUACGUUUUUAUCUAGAGGACCUAAUCCUGUAUCAAACAAAGUUCUAAAGCUUGAUAUUGCGGCUCCGGGUGCCAACAUCUUGGCUGCGUACACAGGAAUCGUGUCAAUUUCCGGCUGGCCAGAUGGUGAUCGGUUUUCCAAAUUCAUAGUGAUGUCUGCUACAUCCAUGCAUGGAUAAAACUAAGCUCACUUUCUCUCUCGCUGAUCAUCUCUUCAAAUGUAUUCUUCAAUUCACCCGAAUGGAUAAGUGGGGUGGCUGCCUAUGUCAAAUCAAUGCACCCAACUUGGUUGCCGGCAGCCAUCAAAUUUGCCAUCAUGACAACUGCUAACUGUGAGUGCAGCUAUUGAGCCGGUAACUGGCGUGUUCAGGACAGUCACUAAUGUGGGGUUAGCAGGGUCCAUAUACAAUGCCCACCAUAAAUGCAGCACCUGGUGUAGAGAUUACUGUCGAGCCCUUGAGUCUGUCAUUUUCUAGCAUCGGUGAGAAGCAGAGCUUCACUGUAUCGGUCAAGGCAAAACCCAAGAAUGAUCAGAGCUUCACUGUAUCGGUCAAGGAAAAACCCAAGAAGCAUAUCUUCACUGUAUCGGUCAACAUUUCCCUAGUUUGUGAUCCCAUGUUGGUUGGAGAUAGUUUGAAUUCUUUUCAAGUUUCGGAUACUUAUUUAAAGAAAUAUGCAAAACCAAUUAUGAUUAUUCUUUUUUAGUGAUUGGUUGAAUAGUGUUUAUUUCAGGUUUGCAGCAGCA
Molecule: non-coding RNA, 955 nt
Organism: Nelumbo nucifera (sacred lotus)
Lineage: Eukaryota; Viridiplantae; Streptophyta; Magnoliopsida; Proteales; Nelumbonaceae
Source: RefSeq, a predicted model, not a curated record